GACGAACGCUGGCGGCGUGCCUAACACAUGCAAGUCGAACGGAGCACUUCGGUGCUUAGUGGCGAACGGGUGAGUAACGCGUGAGCAACCUACCUUUCAGUGGGGGACAACAGUUGGAAACGACUGCUAAUACCGCAUGAUGUCAUCGGGGGACAUCCUCUGGUGACCAAAGCUUUAUGUGCUGAAAGAUGGGCUCGCGUCUGAUUAGCUAGAUGGCGGGGUAACGGCCCACCAUGGCGACGAUCAGUAGCCGGUCUGAGAGGAUGAACGGCCACAUUGGGACUGAGAUACGGCCCAGACUCCUACGGGAGGCAGCAGUGGGGAAUAUUGGGCAAUGGGGGAAACCCUGACCCAGCAACGCCGCGUGAAGGAGAAGGCCCUCGGGUUGUAAACUUCUUUACCUAGGACGAAGAAAGUGACGGUACCUGGAGAAAAAGCAACGGCUAACUACGUAG
RNAcentral lists this ribosomal RNA (455 nucleotides) under uncultured bacterium. RNAcentral's name for it is "bacterial SSU rRNA". It matches the Rfam family "Bacterial small subunit ribosomal RNA", at positions 28 to 508 of the family's 1533-position model. The record is from RNAcentral.